CCCUGGGUCCCUUUGGAUCCUCCGGGACCCCAAAAUUCCAAAAAAUUCCCAAAAAUUCCCAAAAAAUUCCCAAAAAAUUCCCAAAAAAUUUCCCAAAAUUCCCCAAAUUUUUCCUCAAAUUUCCCCCAAAACUCCAAAAAUUCCAGUUCAAACCAGUUCAAACCAGUUCAAACCAGUUCAGAGCACUUUAAACCAGUCCAAACCAGUCCAAACCAGUCCAAACCAGUCAAUCCCUUUCCAUUCCAGUUCAAACCAGUUCAAACCAGUCCAAACCAGUUAAUCCCAGUCCAUUCCAGUCCAUUCCAGUUCCAACCAGUUCAAACCAGUCCAUUCCAGUUCAAACCAGUCCCUCCCAGUCCACCCCAGUCCGUCCCAGUUCCAGCUGAGCAGGGGGGUCCAGAUGGGCCCUGGCAGCAGCUGACAAACCAGUACGGACCAGUAUGGACCAGUACGGACCAGUACGGACCAGUACGGACCAGUACGGACCAGUAUGAACCAGUACGGACCAGUAUGAACCAGUACGGACCAGUAUGGACCAGUAUAAACCAGUAUGGACCAGUACGGACCAGUAUGGACCAGUAUAAACCAGUAUAAACCAGCACGAGCCAGUAUGAACCAGUAUAAACCAGUAUGAACCAGUAUAAACCAGUAUGGACCAGUGCAGUUUUGAAGCAUAUCCCAGUCUGUCCCAGUUCAUCCCAGUAAAUCCCAGUUUGUCCCAGUCCCUCAUUCCUCCGGUGCUCCCAGUUUGUCCCAGUUUAUCCCAGUUCCCCCAGUAUUCCCAUUCCCCAGUUUGUCCCAGUUUGUCCCAGUUUGUCCCAGUUUGUCCCAGUUUGUCCCAGUUUGUCCCAGUUUGUCCCAGUCCCUCCAGGCUCCCAAUUUCCCAGUUGCUCCCAGUGCUCCCAGUUUGUCCCAGUUUAUCCCAGUGCUCCCAGUAUUCCCAGUAUUCCCAGUCCAUCCCAGUGCUCCCAGUUUGUCCCAGCGCUCCCGGUCUCUCCCAGUAAUUCCCAGUACCUCCCAGUUCCCCCCAAUUGCUCCCAGUUUAUCCCAGUAACAGCUCCCAGUAAUGGCUCCCAGUUGCUCCCAGUUUAUCCCACUGCUCCCAGUUUAUCCCAGUUUAUCCCAGUUUAUCCCAGUUUGUCCCAGUUUAUCCCAGUUUACCCCAGUGCUCCCAGUUUAUCCCAGUUCCCCCAGUUGCUCCCAGUCGCUCCCGGUCUCUCCCAGUCUCUCCCAGUGCUCCCAGUUUGUCCCAGUUUGUCCCAGUGCUCCCAGUAUUCCCAAUAUUCCCAUUUCCCAGUCGCUCCCAGUGCUCCCAGUUUGAUCCCAGUUUGUUCCCAGUCUCUCCCAGUCCAUCCCAGUCCAUCCCAGCUUGAUCCCAGUUUGAUCCCAGUUCCAUCCCAGCUUGAUCCCAGUUUGUUCCCAGUCUCUCCCAGUCCCUCCCAGUCCCUCCCAGUACCCGCAGUUCUCUCACCGGGCUCUGUCGCUGUCGCGAUUCCCAGCGCCGCCAGCAGCAGCAGCGGCAGCAGCCCCGGCGGGGCCCUCAUGUCGCGACAGAGCCGCGAUAUCGCGAUAGAGGCACCGGGGGGGGGAGCCGCGAUAUCGCGAUAGAGGCAGCGCCAGAUCCGCGGGGCAGAGCCGCGGUAUCGCGAUAGAGGCAGCGGGGGCAGAGCCGCGGUAUCGCGAUAUCGGAGCCGGCAGAGCCCCGCGAUGUCGCGAUAGAAGCCGGCGGGGCCGCCCCGCGAUGGAGGCGCCGAUCGAGCCCCGCGAUGUCGCGACAGAGCCCCCGGGACGUGGCGGCCCCGGCGCGAGCGGGAGCCGAGUGCGGGAACGGGAGCGGGAGCGGGGCCACG
Long non-coding RNA from Junco hyemalis (dark-eyed junco), 1850 nucleotides. Lineage: Eukaryota; Metazoa; Chordata; Aves; Passeriformes; Passerellidae. The record is from Ensembl.